CAUAUUUUAGAGCUAAAUCAAAAAUAUAAACUAAAAUAACUUUACUUUCAAAUCCACCUUCAUUAAUAUAUUUUAAAAUUAAAUCCGUAUAAAUAAAUUUAUUGUAACCCACUUCUACCUUAUCUAUAAACUGCACCUUGAUCUGAUGUAUUAUAAAAUUAUAAAUUAUGACCAUUAAAUUCUUAUAAAAUAAUCAACUACGACGAUAUACAAAUUAAAUAAAAUAAGUAAGUUCUAAUCGUGGACUAUCAAUUACAGAGCAGGUUCCUCUGAAAAGACUAAAAUACCGCCAAAUUCUUGAAUUUUACAAGCUCUCAACUAAUACUAAUUAAAUUUAAAAUUUACAUUUAA
Molecule: ribosomal RNA, 351 nt
Filed under: Mircogioton sp. KS-2013
Lineage: Eukaryota; Metazoa; Arthropoda; Insecta; Coleoptera; Hydrophilidae
Description: partial 12S ribosomal RNA
Source: RNAcentral